AGAGUUUGAUCCUGGCUCAGGACGAACGCUGGCGGCGUGCCUAAUACAUGCAAGUAGAACGCCGAAGAGAGGAGCUUGCUCUUCUUGGAUGAGUUGCGAACGGGUGAGUAACGCGUAGGUAACCUGCCUUGUAGCGGGGGAUAACUAUUGGAAACGAUAGCUAAUACCGCAUAACAAUGGAUGACCCAUGUCAUUUAUUUGAAAGGGGCAAAUGCUCCACUACAAGAUGGACCUGCGUUGUAUUAGCUAGUAGGUGAGGUAACGGCUCACCUAGGCGACGAUACAUAGCCGACCUGAGAGGGUGAUCGGCCACACUGGGACUGAGACACGGCCCAGACUCCUACGGGAGGCAGCAGUAGGGAAUCUUCGGCAAUGGGGGCAACCCUGACCGAGCAACGCCGCGUGAGUGAAGAAGGUUUUCGGAUCGUAAAGCUCUGUUGUAAGUCAAGAACGAGUGUGAGAGUGGAAAGUUCACACUGUGACGGUAGCUUACCAGAAAGGGACGGCUAACUACGUGCCAGCAGCCGCGGUAAUACGUAGGUCCCGAGCGUUGUCCGGAUUUAUUGGGCGUAAAGCGAGCGCAGGCGGUUUGAUAAGUCUGAAGUUAAAGGCUGUGGCUCAACCAUAGUUCGCUUUGGAAACUGUCAAACUUGAGUGCAGAAGGGGAGAGUGGAAUUCCAUGUGUAGCGGUGAAAUGCGUAGAUAUAUGGAGGAACACCGGUGGCGAAAGCGGCUCUCUGGUCUGUAACUGACGCUGAGGCUCGAAAGCGUGGGGAGCGAACAGGAUUAGAUACCCUGGUAGUCCAUGCCGUAAACGAUGAGUGCUAGGUGUUGGAUCCUUUCCGGGAUUCAGUGCCGCAGCUAACGCAUUAAGCGCUCCGCCUGGGGAGUACGACCGCAAGGUUGAAACUCAAAGGAAUUGACGGGGGCCCGCACAAGCGGUGGAGCAUGUGGUUUAAUUCGAAGCAACGCGAAGAACCUUACCAGGUCUUGACAUCCCGAUGCUAUUUCUAGAGAUAGAAAGUUACUUCGGUACAUCGGUGACAGGUGGUGCAUGGUUGUCGUCAGCUCGUGUCGUGAGAUGUUGGGUUAAGUCCCGCAACGAGCGCAACCCCUAUUGUUAGUUGCCAUCAUUCAGUUGGGCACUCUAGCGAGACUGCCGGUAAUAAACCGGAGGAAGGUGGGGAUGACGUCAAAUCAUCAUGCCCCUUAUGACCUGGGCUACACACGUGCUACAAUGGUUGGUACAACGAGUUGCGAGUCGGUGACGGCAAGCUAAUCUCUUAAAGCCAAUCUCAGUUCGGAUUGUAGGCUGCAACUCGCCUACAUGAAGUCGGAAUCGCUAGUAAUCGCGGAUCAGCACGCCGCGGUGAAUACGUUCCCGGGCCUUGUACACACCGCCCGUCACACCACGAGAGUUUGUAACACCCGAAGUCGGUGAGGUAACCUUUUGGAGCCAGCCGCCUAAGGUGGGAUAGAUGAUUGGGGUGAAGUCGUAACAAGGUA
RNAcentral lists this ribosomal RNA (1506 nucleotides) under metagenome. Its description in RNAcentral is "bacterial SSU rRNA". It matches the Rfam family "Bacterial small subunit ribosomal RNA". The record is from RNAcentral.